UACGAGGGGUGCAAGCGUUGCUCGGAAUCAUUGGGCGUAAAGGGUAGGUAGGUGGUCCCGUUUGUCAGGGGUGAAAUCCUUGGGCUUAACCCAAGAAGUGCCCCUGAAACGGCGGGACUCGAGUUCUGGAGAGGUGGGUGGAAUUCCCGGUGUAGCGGUGAAAUGCGUAGAUAUCGAGAGGAACACCAGUGGCGAAGGCGAGUCCCUGGACACUUCCUGACACUGAGGCACGAAAGCUAGGGGAGCAAACAGG
RNAcentral lists this ribosomal RNA (253 nucleotides) under uncultured bacterium. Its description in RNAcentral is "partial 16S ribosomal RNA". It matches the Rfam family "Bacterial small subunit ribosomal RNA", at positions 524 to 776 of the family's 1533-position model. The record is from RNAcentral.